AUACGUAGGGAGCAAGCGUUGUCCGGAAUUACUGGGCGUAAAGGGCGCGUAGGUGGACAUUUAAGUCAGAUGUGAAAACUCUGGGCUCGACUUGGAGAUUGCAUUUGAAACUGGACGUCUUGAGGGUAGGAGAGGAAAGUGGAAUUCCUAGUGUAGCGGUGAAAUGCGUAGAUAUUAGGAGGAACACCAGUGGCGAAGGCGACUUUCUGGACUAUACCUGACACUGAGGCGCGAAAGCGUGGGGAGCGAACGGGAUUAGAUACCCCGGUAGUCCACGCCGUAAACGAUGGAUACUAGGUGUAGGGGGUAUCGACCCCUUCUGUGCCGCAGCUAACGCAAUAAGUAUCCCGCCUGGGGACUACGGUCGCAAGACUAAAACUCAAAGGAAUUGACGGGG
This 397-nucleotide ribosomal RNA is filed under the name uncultured bacterium. Its description in RNAcentral is "partial 16S ribosomal RNA". It matches the Rfam family "Bacterial small subunit ribosomal RNA", at positions 523 to 918 of the family's 1533-position model. The record is from RNAcentral.